GCCAGAGGGGGCAAGCGUUGCUCGGAAUUACUGGGCGUAAAGGGCGCGUAGGCGGGAUGGCAAGUCGGUCGUGAAAUCCUUCGGCUCAACCGAAGAACGUCGAUCGAUACUGCUGUUCUUGAGGGUUGCAGAGGAGACUGGAAUUCCCGGUGUAGCGGUGAAAUGUGUAGAGAUCGGGAGGAACACCGGUGGCGAAGGCGGGUCGCUGGGCAAUUCCUGACGCUGAGGCGCGAAAGCGGGGGGAGCAAACGGG
This 253-nucleotide ribosomal RNA is filed under the name uncultured bacterium. Its description in RNAcentral is "partial 16S ribosomal RNA". It matches the Rfam family "Bacterial small subunit ribosomal RNA", at positions 524 to 776 of the family's 1533-position model. The record is from RNAcentral.